Long non-coding RNA from Bos taurus (domestic cattle), 1430 nucleotides. Lineage: Eukaryota; Metazoa; Chordata; Mammalia; Artiodactyla; Bovidae. The record is from Ensembl.
ACGCUGCCUGAGCCUCUGCCUCCACCACAACCCAAGGCGCCACAGCCGCAAAAAUCCGAGCCAUUUUCCACUCAGUCGCCUCAGCCGCUGCCGAGAGCUUCGGCGGACACCGCGGCCAGCCAAGCAUAGACGUCACUUCCGGUCGGGAAAGCACCGCCUUCCGCACCCAGGCUUCUUUCGGAUUGGCUGGUGCGGAGGGCCUACCUGAGGUAGUGGGCGGGGCUUGGGUGAGUCGCGUGAGGCUCUAACUCCCGUAGCUGCGAAUGAGUCGGGCUCCUGGGGUAUAGUGCCCAGCAGGCUUGGGAUGUCUCUUUGUGCAGCCCCAGACCAGAGGAGAGGGACUCCGGGGACCCCAGUCGGCCACCUCUCAAACCCAGCGUCCAAAGCGCCCCCCAGCCACUGAACUACUUUACUGUUCCCGUGCCCUCUUCUUGGACUCUGCGCUCGUCUCCAUCCGGACGGCAGCUCCCAGAUUCGUGGUUUUGGCCCCAGGCCUGCGGACAUUAGCUUGUGAUUGGAGGAUUGAAAGGAACAGGGAAGAUAUAAAAUCGUUCACUCCAACCAGCGUCUACCGUUUCCUCACAGUGGAUCAGGUGCUGCGGGGUGUGUAAUUAGUAGUCCGCCCAUCACGUGGAGUGUUUAAAGUGCUUUCGCAUCAUAUUUAAUCCUCACAACAGCCAGGCUCUGAUCAAUCAAAAGGGUCCUAAUAAGAAGAAGAAGAAAGGCAGCUUGAUGGUUCUCCAGAUUCCAAAAAAGCAGCAUUCACAAACUGCCAAGUGUCAAGAAUCUGAAAUGGUAGCCCUCUCUAAGUUCAUCUCAUCUCUGACAAUGAGCAUAUGAAGAUGCAUGUGUGAACAAUAGAAACAAACUUCUAGGAGAAAGUGCCAACUGAUGCUGCUAUCUUUUGGAACCAAAUAGGACAUAGCUGGCACCAUUUCUCCUCUUUCCCUUCUCCCACUGGCUUCAAUAUUAAGAUUUAAAGGUAGAGGAAAGAAUUGAUGAGGAGGCAUUAUAUUUUUAAGUGUUCCAAUCCUAACCUUCCAAUCCUAACAGAGAAUGUCACAGCACCAUAAAUAUCCCUAAACUUCUUUCAAUACUAAAUGAGAAAUGGACAACCCUGUUUUGCCACAGGUAAACAAUACUGACUGACAUUUAUUGAGCAUUUUUGAAGGCCAGCCCCUGUUCUUAGUGCUUUAUGAGUCAUGGAGAGGAAAUUACAAGAAUCCCUCCAACAAGCUUAUAAAAUGAUACCAUUAUGAUAUCCUUAUUUUAUAGCUGAGGAAUUUGAGGAACAGAGGACAUAAAUAAUUUGUCCAGGGUUACACAGUUACUCAAUAGUCUGUUGUUUAGUCGCUAAGUCAUGUCCAACUCCUUGUGACCCCAUGGACUUUAGCACUCCAGGCUACCCAGUCCUUCACUGUCUCCCGGAG